RNAcentral lists this unclassified non-coding RNA (221 nucleotides) under Hevea brasiliensis (rubber tree). Lineage: Eukaryota; Viridiplantae; Streptophyta; Magnoliopsida; Malpighiales; Euphorbiaceae. The record is from RNAcentral.
AAUCAACACUCUUGCAUUCUCAAAUUCACAAAUUAGCUUUUCAGGAUUUGUUGCAAAUUGAGGGGAAAUAUAACCUCUGUCCAUCUCCAUUCCUUCCUCAACUUCAACUGUUGUCUCAAAUGAGGAUGAUGACUCAAUUGACAAAACACCAUCAGGCCCAACCUUGUCAAUUGCAUCAGCAAUCAUUGUCCCAAUAAGCUCAUCAUUUCCAGCAGAAAUGG